RNAcentral lists this ribosomal RNA (625 nucleotides) under uncultured bacterium. Its description in RNAcentral is "bacterial SSU rRNA". It matches the Rfam family "Bacterial small subunit ribosomal RNA", at positions 61 to 677 of the family's 1533-position model. The record is from RNAcentral.
GUCGAGCGGUAACAGGGGAGCUUGCUCCUGCUGACGAGCGGCGGACGGGUGAGUAACGCGUAGGAAUCUACCUAGUAGAGGGGGACAACAUGUGGAAACGCAUGCUAAUACCGCAUACACCCUAAGGGGGAAAGGAGGGGACUCUUCGGAGCCUUCCGCUAUUAGAUGAGCCUGCGUGAGAUUAGCUAGUUGGUAGGGUAAAGGCCUACCAAGGCGACGAUCUCUAACUGGUCUGAGAGGAUGACCAGUCACACUGGGACUGAGACACGGCCCAGACUCCUACGGGAGGCAGCAGUGGGGAAUAUUGGACAAUGGGCGGAAGCCUGAUCCAGCCAUGCCGCGUGUGUGAAGAAGGCCUUAGGGUUGUAAAGCACUUUCAGGGGUGAGGAAGGGUGACUGGCUAAUAUCCAGUUAUCUUGACGUUAGCCCCAGAAGAAGCACCGGCUAACUCUGUGCCAGCAGCCGCGGUAAUACAGAGGGUGCAAGCGUUAAUCGGAAUUACUGGGCGUAAAGCGCGCGUAGGUGGUUUGUUAAGUCGGAUGUGAAAUCCCAGGGCUCAACCUUGGAAUGGCACCCGAUACUGGCUAGCUAGAGUAUGGUAGAGGGGUGUGGAAUUUCCUGUGUA